AUUAAAAAUAUAGAUUGGCUGAAGCGCCACACAUGCAUCAUCCAACAAUUUUAAUUAUUUGCUAAAAUCCCCGCUACCCAUGGCAACAAACACCAACCUUGUUAUUUUAAUAUUUUCUAUUAACUACAUUUCUGCCGAAAAGUGGUGGCACUUUCUACUCAAAUCUGCAAGAUGUAAUUCAGCCAAACACUAUAUGAUCGGGAAUCUGACAUACCUUCUAGUCUAUCCAGGCAAUUUGGGAUCGAUCUGUUCUAUGGAUUAAUCAGAUGACUGAGCGGAAUCCCCAAUCGCUGCCUCUGCCCCCACUUCUGCCGCACAGAUUUGGCCGUCCACACUGCUUCCCUCAUGGUGCGUCUACAUAACCCCAUUUACCAAAAUUCAGGUUAGAUGCAGAAAUGCGGAAACAAAUCCUUGCGGAACUGCGCACAUCACUAACACAAAUCUGCACCUGUUAAUCGGCUGCAGCAGGAACCCCAUCUUCACG
This 484-nucleotide long non-coding RNA is filed under the name Triticum aestivum (bread wheat). Its description in RNAcentral is "long non-coding RNA (TAES_LNC018236)". The record is from RNAcentral. Lineage: Eukaryota; Viridiplantae; Streptophyta; Magnoliopsida; Poales; Poaceae.